UACGUAGGUGGCGAGCGUUGUCCGGAUUUACUGGGUGUAAAGGGCGCGUAGGCGGGAGUGCAAGUCAGAUGUGAAAUCCAUGGGCUUAACCCAUGAACUGCAUUUGAAACUGUAUUUCUUGAGUGUCGGAGAGGUAGACGGAAUUCCUAGUGUAGCGGUGAAAUGCAUAGAUAUUAGGAGGAACACCAGUGGCGAAGGCGGUCUGCUGGACGACAACUGACGCUGAGGCGCGAAAGCGUGGGGAGCAAACAGG
This 253-nucleotide ribosomal RNA is filed under the name uncultured bacterium. RNAcentral describes it as "partial 16S ribosomal RNA". It matches the Rfam family "Bacterial small subunit ribosomal RNA", at positions 524 to 776 of the family's 1533-position model. The record is from RNAcentral.